AAUAAAAUAUAGAGCUUAAAUGAGAGAGAUACCAGACUCCAGUGUCUCUUCUUCUAGUCGUCUCUAUUUCUUCUUUCCUGUACUCUCUACAAUGUCCAUGGAAGAAGAAUUCAAAGAUUUUCAAGGAACAGAAGAAAAUGAAAUCCUGGAGAGUGAGUGGAAGAGGUUGGAUCGAGUUUCUCAAAAAUGAUCCGUUGAUUGGAUGCCCCACCCGGUUCUUUUUGUUCUUUCUUGUAUUGUUCUUUUUCUCAUGUUUUCUUGUGGAGUUAACCCAUUCUUUUUUCCUUUCUUGUCUUCUUUUUGGUUUUUCUGGUCUCGUUUCUUGAAAUCUUCGAGAGGUUUGGGUCGAGUUUCAAAAAAAUGAUCCAUUGCAUGCGCAACCCUUGCGGUUUUCAGGACUUCUUUUCUUUAAGUUGUGCGUGAAGAUUCCACCCUCACUUCUUGGAGUUUAGAGAGAUUGUUGUAGUGCUCAUUUUGGUUGGAUCUUCAAGCAUUCUGGAGAGUGAGGCUACUGCUCGAAGCUAAUGGGAACUCAUGUUGUGAUACCUUGACUUUGAUCGGUGACUCGGGUCCAUUUUUGGAGCCAUAGUAACCUUUGUUUUCCUACUAUUAUCUAUAUUACCAAUCAGGCUGCCAUUAAAUUGAAGUUGAAGAUGCCUCAACACAAGAGGAGAAUUUUUCAUCCUGUGAGACAGUUGCAGCUAUCUAAUGUAAAGAUACUUGGUUGUAUAUUAGAAUACUUUGUGCAAGGGAGCUUUGUAUACUUUGUUGUAAAUUAUCCAAAGAAAUGAAAAUUUUCUUCCAAGAGAAAUAAAUAUUGUUGCCUGA
Molecule: long non-coding RNA, 828 nt
Organism: Sesamum indicum (sesame)
Lineage: Eukaryota; Viridiplantae; Streptophyta; Magnoliopsida; Lamiales; Pedaliaceae
Source: RefSeq, a predicted model, not a curated record